RNAcentral lists this ribosomal RNA (254 nucleotides) under uncultured bacterium. RNAcentral's name for it is "partial 16S ribosomal RNA". It matches the Rfam family "Bacterial small subunit ribosomal RNA", at positions 524 to 776 of the family's 1533-position model. The record is from RNAcentral.
UACGUAGGGUGCGAGCGUUGUCCGGAAUUAUUGGGCGUAAAGAGCUCGUAGGCGGUCUGUCGCGUCGAUCGUGAAAACUUGGGGCUUAACCCUGAGCUUGCGGUCGAUACGGGCAUGACUGGAGUUCGGCAGGGGAGACUGGAAUUCCUGGUGUAGCGGUGAAAUGCGCAGAUAUCAGGAGGAACACCGGUGGCGACGGCGGGUCUCUGGGCCGAUACUGACGCUGAGGAGCGAAAGCGUGGGGAGCGAACAGG